RNAcentral lists this long non-coding RNA (222 nucleotides) under Elaeis guineensis (African oil palm). Its description in RNAcentral is "long non-coding RNA (EGUI_LNC045915)". The record is from RNAcentral. Lineage: Eukaryota; Viridiplantae; Streptophyta; Magnoliopsida; Arecales; Arecaceae.
CAGUUCUAGGAGUUCGUCCAUUCCAGCUCUCCAAAACUUUAGUUCUGUGGAUGAACCUCAUCCGAUCUUUGUACCAGACAGCAUCCCCAGCUCUCUGACUUCGAAGAAACUCUCACUGAUUAGGAUUCAGUACGGAGUUCCUCUAGAGUACGAGUUGGAGAUUCCUGGGCCGAUUGGCCGGGCUAGCGCUCCUCCGCCCGGCUGCUUCUCUUUAUACCAAGA